Molecule: long non-coding RNA, 1531 nt
Filed under: Strigops habroptila (Kakapo)
Lineage: Eukaryota; Metazoa; Chordata; Aves; Psittaciformes; Psittacidae
Description: lncRNA (ENSSHBG00005002440.1)
Source: RNAcentral
UUUUUUUUUUUUUACAGGCUGGGACUAAGGUUAUUUUGCUGUCUGAAUAUCACGGGUUCCCGCACCGUGAGACUGUAACACUUUUAGCUGAAAUUCUGCCUGUAAUAUUGCGGGAGGGGGGAGGAGGACGUGGGCUCACGUCAGACCCAUAACAAAGCAUAGAUAAGCCAGAAAUGUAUACACUUUUCACGAUUAACCGGGCUGGAUCCCGAGCUGGAAUGUCCUAUCGUCCCGAAGCCCACGUCAGGAUUCCUGCGUGCUGAUUGCUUCCAGCAGAGAAAGGAGAAUGCAAAAUAUCCAAGGUGCUUCCAGGAGCCUUUACGUAAUAACAAAAAAGUGCUGGCACACACAAUGUAGGGUAUUGCGAGGGGCUAGGAUGCUGCUGCCUCGCAGCUCGCAUAUUCCGCCCGGAGUAGCCCUGCCGCAGCUUUUUGAUGUUCCAUUGAGAGCAGCCCCUUAAAAUCAAUUUGAAGAAGCAGCAUGGAGGUUUAACCUCUUCUUAGGGACGUGAAACGAGUCGAGUGUCAGGACCGGGGGGGUUCGCCAAUGUCGCGAUGGCCGCACGCCUCUCCCGUGGCACCGGGGGGGGGUGUGUGUGUGUGGAUGCUCCUCCCGGGUUGCACGUUAGGCGCCGCGAAAAAAGAAAUCGCCAACCUCCGCCGUGCCUCCAGUGCUCCGCUGGGUACGAACACGAGCACGUUUGGGUAUCGCCGCACAUCCAGAAAGACACAUAUCCGAGAGAUGAAUGAGACAGCUCAUAUUUCUGGGACUUGGAGGGGGAAAAAAAUCGACGAAGAAAAUAAUAAUAAUAUAAUUAAAAAAAAAAAAAUCUUCAAUCCCAAACGUCAAUAUCCACUCCGUGUAUUGGCAAGAUGGUGCGUGGAGUUCGUGUUACCCCGUCAGGUAGAGCUAAAAGAAAGCGCAUAAUCACUCUGUAAAAACCGCGGGUUUGCACGUCAAAGCGAAAUACAGGCGAGCCCCCAGUUUCGCUGGAAUUCUAGAGAGAAGUGGGAAUUUGGAGAAGUGCAUCCGGGAAUGGAGGAAGUCUAUUCAAGGGAGCCUCUAACUCGGAGGGCUGAGAUUUGAAAAGUCAGCCCUGGACUACUGUUGCUCCCAGUGCAGAUGUAGCCGCCGCUGUUCAACUUAAUCCAUGUGUGUGCGAACCGCGGUGCCUAGCUCUUCCCUUUGGAACCCGGGGAUAGCCUUCCCAUCCGAGGAAGCAGAGCUACGGCAAAUUACAUUUUGUCCCUCGAAUUAGAAAAGGAUCAUUGAGUGGAUCUCGUGAUAUUUCAGCCUUUAAACGUAACCGAGAGGCAGCAGCGAACAAUGCCUCGGCGCAGCCAAGACCAUCCGCGGAGUUCGCCUUCCCUCGCCUUGCCUUGGGAUCCCCCAGCCUCGCCUUCCUCUUCCUCGCCCGUGGGAGAGCCACCCUGGCGUCUGCCGAGGCUGAAAGCAAAGUUGCGAGAGAAAACAGCUGCUGGCGCUAAAAAGAAAUCAGCGUAGUCUUUCUAGAGCUAGAGACAAUACGGUC